CUCUACUAAGAUCUGGCAACUCACCGGGAUCUCUUUUCCACAAGGUGUAUAAUUCUGCACUUGGCAUGGCCCUGAUGUGGAGAAUCUCAGGACUAUGUUGUAAUUCUCCUAUUGGGACUUGCCAUAUACUUGACAUGGCACCUGUCCCCACACAGAUCUCCUAUACCCCAGUGUUAGACAAUUUGAAUGGCCAGUGGCAGAGUCACUCCUUGCACCACAGCCUGCUUUGGACUCCCUCAAACCUGACAGCUUUUGGUGUUACCUGCAAGAAAUCUUUGGUACAGUGGACCAGUGAUCUUCUGAAGAUUUCCAGAUGGUCCAUGUCUCCUCAGACUGUUAUGACAGAGAGAGAAGAGUUGUCAUAGCCUGGUGGCAGAGCUGUAAAUGUAUACUGUUGUCUAUUCCAACUGAAUAUGAGUUAUUUCUUAUCCCUUUUAGGGAUAGAAAAUGAA
Molecule: long non-coding RNA, 452 nt
Organism: Suricata suricatta (meerkat)
Lineage: Eukaryota; Metazoa; Chordata; Mammalia; Carnivora; Herpestidae
Exons: 2
Source: RefSeq, a predicted model, not a curated record